RNAcentral lists this long non-coding RNA (2515 nucleotides) under Homo sapiens (human). RNAcentral's name for it is "HSALNT0338967". The record is from RNAcentral. Lineage: Eukaryota; Metazoa; Chordata; Mammalia; Primates; Hominidae.
UGUAAGAGGGAUAUAAUGGACUCUGGGGACAGUGUACACUGCUCAGGUGACAGGUGCACCAAAAUCUCAGAAACCACAACUAAAGAGCUUUUCCAUGCAAUCAAACACCACGUUCCCCAAAAACUAUUGAAAUAAAAAAUAAAAUCCCAUUAAAAAAAUAAACUACUACUGAUAUAAACAAUGAAGAUCAUAAAAUGUAACUGGAAAUAAUUUUUUGUCCCACAAUAAGUCAUUGUUUAAAUUAUGGUAUAUCCAUCCAAUGAAAAAUCAUGCAGUCAUUAAAAAAAAAAAUCCACUUUAAGAUACCACUCCACACCCACGAGGCUAACCAUAAGAAAAAAGACAUCAUAAUAAGGGUUAAAAAUUCAGAGAAACCGGAAUCUUCAUAUACUGCUGGUGGGAAUGUAAAAUGGUGUAGUUACUAUGGAAAAUAGUUUGGCAAUUCCUAAAAAAGAAAGAGCUACCAUGUAACCCAGUGUUUCCACUCAAGAGAAGUGAAAAAAAAAGGUCUCAUACAAAUAUCUGUACUUGAAUGUUCGUAAUAGCCAGAAAGUGAAACAACCCAAAUGUCUACAGCUGAUGAAUGGGUCACUGAAAUGAGCUCUGAUGACACAAUGGGGUAUGACCACGUGCCAUGUGGUGGAAGGGAGCGCUGAUCCGUGCCACAGGGUAGACGCCCCUUGAGAACGUGCUGAGAGGAAAGCGCCAGCACAGAGGCCACCUAUGGUGCGAUUCCACUGAUACACAACGUCCAGAACAGAAUCACUCUGCUACACGGAUGUCCCUGGAGUUUCGAUUCCUAAAUCAGCAGUCUUCCACUCCGCAUCCGCGCCCCCGCAGUGCCCCGCCUGGCACGGGCAGGGGUGCCUCCCAGACAACGGAAACCAGACGAGGGCCAGGCCAGGCAGACACACCGGGCAGCCACUGAACUGCUGGGCCAAGACCUCCAGCCUCCCAAACCCAGAUUCCUGGUCCUAGGAGACGGCUUUCUCAGCUGCAGCCCAGACUCCGCGCUAAUCCGAAGAGCUGACCGUCUGCUGUUGACAGGCCAGCUUGAGUGAGGUAUGAUCUGCGCACGUGAACAGUUUGACAAGAGCAGUGUCAUGAGCUUUGCUGCGUGUACACCUGUGCGGCGAUCACAUCCAUUACGCCAAAGGGUAUUUCUAGCACCCCAUAAGACCCCAAUCAUAUCCCAGCACGAGACUCCAGGGAUCACUGACCUGCUUUCUAUCACUGUUGCUCAGUUUUACCUUUUUAAAAAGUUCAAAUCAAUGGGAUGGUAUAGUAAGUAUAAACUCAGUAAGUCUGGCUUCCUUCACUCAGCAAGAGAGACCCUUUCAUGUUUCCAAGCACCGCCGCUGCCGCGCAUUACACUGCGUGGAGACGCCACGGUCCACGUAUCCCUUCACCUGCUGACAGGCACCUGAGUUGUUCCUGCUCUCAGACUGUUAGAAUAAGGCUCUACAAACAUUCCUGUACAAGUCUUCAUGAGACCACAUUUUCUCUUGGGUUUCUCUUAGAUUAAAUACCGAGGAAUGGAACUGCAGGGUCACACCGUAAGUGUGUACAAAGCUACCAAACCAUUUCCAAAGUGGCCGUACCACUUGCUACUCCCAGGGGCAACAGGCCUGGCUGCUCUGCAUCUCUGCCAGCAGUCAGGAUGGUCAGUCUGCUUAAUUUUAGCCAUUUUAUUGGGUGCCCAGUGGUAUCUCACUGCAGUCUUGAAACCGCCUUUACAGAAUUUUAAGUAACGAGAGAAAUCUACAUUACUGACUCCACCUUGCUUCUAACCUCACAGGAUCUUUUCUUUUUUUUUUUUUUUUUUUUUUUGCUUAUUCUAAUACAGAGGCCAAGAUAACUAUGAGAGGAAUGUAGUUUAUAGUUAAACUUCAAGGCAAGGAAAAAUGACACCCGUCCUUGUUUGGAGAUUAAGACUGGCAUUGCUACAGGGGCCUGAACUUUGCUAAAGAACAGGCACGGGUAAACCAUGACCUGUCACUGCUUACUUAGCUUGCUCUUCUACAGUGCCUGCUACCCGGAGUCACGUAACCAGACGUUGUCAGAUUCGGAACUUCCCUAACGGCUCCUACAGACAUCACUGCUGUGAAACCUAAAAAACUGGUCUUUGGGAUAUUUUUCAGAUUUAGCAUUUCAGCAGAUCAAGAGAUGCCACCUGGACUUGUGACCCCAUCUCCCAGGAACUGACUCAGCUGCACGGAGACAGUCCUGACACCCCUAUCAUUGCAUCCCCAACACAACCAACCAGCAUUCACCACUCCCUAGGCCGCUGCCCGCCAAAACACCCUCAAGCCCUCGCCUCCUAAUUCUCAGGGAGACAGAUGUGAGAGUUAUCUCGCGUCCACCUCCCUCGGCUGGCUCUGCAAUCAUUAAACUCCCUCUCUGCUGCCACACCUGCCGUUCUCAGUGCAUUGGCUUUCUGGGCAGCAAGAAGAACCCUGUUGGGCGAUUACAGUCUUAAUUUGCAUUCCCCUAAUAACUAACAAUGUUGACCAUC